AAAACAGAUUUACUAUUUUGUAUAAAAGCUGUCAGAGAUAACAUAGAUACUCAAACUCUAAAUAAUUUCUUGACAGUGAAGCAACAAAAUUGUUACAAUAACGCGAAAUUCCAAAGGUCAAAAUGAAUAAAACAAUCAUUAUUUUCGUAGCUGUGAUACUUAUGGUAUCUGUGAUCCAUGCAAAUGCUGAUGGUCAUGCAAAGAUUGUCAAAAGAUCGUCGCAUGUCGCAACUCCAGCCACAGCUGCUACACCUGCUACAGCAGCAACUCCAGCCACAGCCGCAACUUCAGCUACAGCAGCAACACCAGCUGGAUAAUCUUCAUCUGUUCAGCCAAAUAUUAUAUGCUAGCUUUUCCGAUUUUAAAUAAUGGUUUCGUUUUUUCAGUUUUUGAAUAAAUUAGAAAAUUGAAUGAUAAA
Bradysia coprophila is the source of this 418-nucleotide long non-coding RNA. RefSeq lists it as uncharacterized. The record is from RefSeq and is a predicted model, not a curated record. NCBI's taxonomy places the organism in Eukaryota, Metazoa, Arthropoda, Insecta, Diptera, Sciaridae.